RNAcentral lists this long non-coding RNA (367 nucleotides) under Mytilus galloprovincialis (Mediterranean mussel). The record is from RNAcentral. Lineage: Eukaryota; Metazoa; Mollusca; Bivalvia; Mytilida; Mytilidae.
CACUUUUCCACUUUUUUUGUUGUCGUGUUUGGAAAAAAAUAAUUUGAUAAUUGGUAUAUCAUGACAAGUAACAGUCCAAAGUUCGAAUUUUGUGUAGUCAUGGUCCCCCGACUUCGAAAAAAUUCUCUUAAAUAAUCAGUUUUUUCACACUUUUUUGUCAUGCCUGAAGAUAUAGAUUUGAUAUAUAGUUUACACUAUGACAAGUUAUAGACCAAAUUGGCAGUUAGCUGUCCUUGACCGCAUUUUUAUGGUUCAUUGGUCGAUGUAAAGAUUUCUUUGUUUAGUCCAUUUCUCAUAUACUGAAGAAUUUAAAAACAAUAAUCGUAUGAUCGUUCAUUAUUGUCUGGCAUUGAUUAUCUGACCUGAC